Molecule: long non-coding RNA, 372 nt
Filed under: Panax ginseng (ginseng)
Lineage: Eukaryota; Viridiplantae; Streptophyta; Magnoliopsida; Apiales; Araliaceae
Description: long non-coding RNA (PGIN_LNC000608)
Source: RNAcentral
AUACUAUACAUUAUCUAGGUAUUCUAAUGACUUUUAUGUAUAGUUCACAUACCAGUCCACAACAUAACAACAACAACUUGGCCAAACACAUUACUAAGAAUCAAGAUCCGAGUCUAAUAAAAUUCUUGUCUGACUUUCUUGGUUUCUGGGUUGCCCAGAAACUUAAUUGGUCAUGGUCGGUCAACGAACUUUGACCCUUAAUAACAUUUAAUCUACACAUGAUCUGGGCUUGAUUCAAGUUCCAGAUCAAAGCCCUGACAACAUAGAACAAAUCUAUAACUUACAACACACUACACAUCUAAAUUCGUGCAUCUAGAUGUUAUGGAUCCAAGUUAUAACAACCUAGAUCACUAAAUGACAUCCUUAUACACA